AGGGUUCGAUCAUGGCUCAGGAUGAACGCUGGCGGCGUGCUUAACACAUGCAAGUCGAACGAACCUUCGGGUUAGUGGCGGACGGGUGAGUAACGCGUGAGAAUCUGCCCUCAGGAGGGGGAUAACGGUUGGAAACGACCGCUAAUACCCCAUAUGCCUACUGGUGAAAUGAAUUUCGCCUGAGGAUGAGCUCGCGUCUGAUUAGCUAGUUGGUGAGGUAAUGGCUCACCAAGGCUUCGAUCAGUAGCUGGUCUGAGAGGAUGAUCAGCCACACUGGGACUGAGACACGGCCCAGACUCCUACGGGAGGCAGCAGUGGGGAAUUUUCCGCAAUGGGCGAAAGCCUGACGGAGCAACGCCGCGUGAGGGACGAAGGCCUCUGGGCUGUAAACCUCUUUUCUCAAGGAAGAAGAUAUGACGGUACUUGAGGAAUAAGCCACGGCUAAUUCCGUGCCAGCCGCCGCGGUAAUAC
Molecule: ribosomal RNA, 471 nt
Filed under: uncultured bacterium
Lineage: Bacteria
Description: bacterial SSU rRNA
Rfam family: Bacterial small subunit ribosomal RNA
Source: RNAcentral